This 70-nucleotide transfer RNA is filed under the name Marmota monax (woodchuck). RNAcentral's name for it is "tRNA.Ala". The record is from RNAcentral. Lineage: Eukaryota; Metazoa; Chordata; Mammalia; Rodentia; Sciuridae.
GGGCUGGGGCUCAGUGGCAGAGUGCUCGCCUAGCAUGUGUGAGGCACUGGGUUCGAUCCUCAGCAUUACA